RNAcentral lists this ribosomal RNA (730 nucleotides) under Gallibacterium anatis. RNAcentral describes it as "bacterial LSU rRNA". It matches the Rfam family "Bacterial large subunit ribosomal RNA", at positions 1311 to 2023 of the family's 2925-position model. Lineage: Bacteria; Pseudomonadati; Pseudomonadota; Gammaproteobacteria; Pasteurellales; Pasteurellaceae. The record is from RNAcentral.
CGAUAAAGCGGGUGAAAGGCCCGCUCGCCGGAAGACCAAGGUUUCCUGUCCAACGUUAAUCGGGGCAGGGUGAGUCGGCCCCUAAGGCGAGGCUGAGAAGCGUAGUCGAUGGGAAAUGGGUUAAUAUUCCCAUACUUGGAUAAACUGCGAUGUGGGGACGGAGCAGGUUAGGUUAGCGUACGGAUGGAAGAGUACGUUUAAGUUGGUAGGUGGGUGAGUUAGGCAAAUCCGGCUCACCAUUAACACUGAGAGAUGAUGACGAGGCACCAAGGUGCUGAAGUAACUGAUACCCAACUUCCAGGAAAAGCCACUAAGCKWSAGGUUUAUCUAAACCGUACUGGAAACCGACACAGGUGGUCAGGUAGAGAAUACUAAGGCGCUUGAGAGAACUCGGGUGAAGGAACUAGGCAAAAUAGCACCGUAACUUCGGGAGAAGGUGCGCUGGCGUAGUGUGAAGUUCUUCGCGAAUGGAGCACGAACCAGUCGAAGCGACGAGCUGGCUGCAACUGUUUAAUAAAAACACAGCACUCUGCAAACACGAAAGUGGACGUAUAGGGUGUGAUGCCUGCCCGGUGCUGGAAGGUUAAUUGAUGGUGUUAUCGAAAGAGAAGCACCUGAUCGAAGCCCCAGUAAACGGCGGCCGUAACUAUAACGGUCCUAAGGUAGCGAAAUUCCUUGUCGGGUAAGUUCCGACCUGCACGAAUGGCAUAAUGAUGGCCAGGCUGUCUCC